Solenopsis invicta (red fire ant) is the source of this 2782-nucleotide long non-coding RNA. RefSeq lists it as uncharacterized. The record is from RefSeq and is a predicted model, not a curated record. Lineage: Eukaryota; Metazoa; Arthropoda; Insecta; Hymenoptera; Formicidae. The transcript has 3 exons.
CUCUUGGAACAGUCAGCUGUAUUGUAUUCGUGCAUACGUCAUAGCCGGAGCCGCCGGAGGACGACUUUGAUCAAAAUCCGAUCAGCCAUCUUCGAUUAAUCGACGAUUAAUUUAAUUCGCGGAAUCGCGUAAAAAAAUUCAAACUGAGGGACAGAGAUGACGAGUUUCCAUCUCAGAGCGAUAGUACAGCUGCAGCUUCGCGGAUCAGUCGUCUCGUUUUCCAAUCGUCGCUGCGUACGCCGUACACUCACUUCUGAAGAUGCGGAAGGAACCAUGUGAUUCUUACCUCGGGGAAGAGGCAAAGAGAAGCUAUAUCGAGUCUCCACGGGAAAACGAUCGGGCAAAUGCGAGAGAGAUCGAUGCGAGCAUAACCUGGAUGAGAGAUCGUGUGCAAGAAGUUUCUUGGAAUGUUCUCGAUGAAUACAGAAGAUAUGUCGGUUAAGAGCCGAGGUGAUCGCGCAUCGAGCUCGAGAGAUCAACGGCCGUAGAUAAGUGCUCCGGGACACGGAGUCGCUCGUCCUCGUCGCGUUCGAAAAUUUCGAAACGUCAAUCCGUCACUCUCGCGACCACAGUACAUACACAACACAUCCGUAUUCAUUCGGCCAAUCGGCCCCUUUCGCCUGUCGUUCGCAGCGCCGCGCCGCCGAGCGCGACUAGGGUUGGACUAGUGUCGAAUUGGCGCGCGCAAAUUAUUAGCUAGCUUGGUGAGCGGCUCCUUCUAAACUCCAAUUAACUUAAUUAGACAUUAGUAAUUUGUCAAGCGACGUUUGUAUUUUGGUAACAUGGACACAAUUGUGUUUUGCUGUUUUAAAGACGUAUUGACUCUGUAAUAUCAGUUAAAAGUUAUCGAAAUUUAAAGACUGCAGACUUCUGAGGUUAGGUUUAUACUUUUUUUUUUAAAUUUAGAUUUUAAUUUCUCUCGCGCGAUUCUCUCCCCCUUUUUCUAUUGAAAAGAAAAAAAAAAGGAAAAAUGCAUAAAAUUCAGCUAAAAAAUAGGUCUAAUGACAACAAACAUUUGGUAUGUGAUUCUAAUUUAGCCCUGAAAAUUAAUCUAGUAAUAUUUUGUAGUUGUAAUAAUUUUUUUUUAUUAUCUUGAUAUAUCAUCAACUAGCAGAAAAGAAUGAUAUUGUACAAUUUCUGUUCGAGCAAUUCUGCUAGUCGAAUAUUAAUCGGAGUUUAGUCGAGGUCGCCAUAAUUCUAUGUAGAUACCCGUUUUUUUUUUUUGCCGCGCGACAUCAAUCGACUGGUAACAUUAUUCGCGCCUGCCUUUGCGAGAAGUCUAAUUUAUUCGUAUUUAACACGAUCGUGAUGCGCCGUACGCAUUUUAAUAACACGCAUGCAAACAACAUGGUCACAGCCAUAUAUUGUGAUUGCAGGAUCUUCCUCGAAUUCCACACUUAAAUGCACACACACAGAUAUAUGUAUACACGAUAUGUUGCAAAAGGUACUGAAAGUGAUAUAUUACGAAACGAGAGUAUCUGUAUCGCAAAAUGUUUGCGGUAAGAGCUGCCGAAGCGUUUAGAAGAGCGUUCCUUCAGUUUUACGAGGAGGUACUCUCGGACGUUAGAUAACGAGACGACGACGACGCUCAACACGAAGAAAACUAGACCGAAGAGAGUGGUCAGGGCUCUGCACCACUGCCGCUUCCGUUUCGCUCUCGCGAUUGUCCGGCCUAAACGCUCGGCCUGCGUCACGUCGAGCGUGAAAUCAAAAUCCUCGCCCAAACCUCGGAUAGCCAGGCGACCGUUCCAGUCGUUCGCGUUCAACGGAGCGAUCGUGUCUUCGGUGGACGACCCGACGUCGCUGCACUCCAGCUGCUGGAACAAUGUUCCUCCGUACAGUACGCUCGUAUAUGAACGUUGAUUGCGCAAAAUUGAUCGAACAAUGUAAAUUCGAAAAGUCUUUUACGGAGAAAAAGCUAAGCUUGUUCGCACCCGAGGUACAUUAAUUUUAAUCUCAGCUUAACUUGCUUCUUUUUCUAAUUCUUAAGAAUUGGAAGAAUCUCUUAAAUUCUUAAGAAAGUACGUUAAAUCGAAAUGAAAGUUAAUCUACUUUAGAGCAAACGGGCCAUAUGCCCAAUUUCUUCACCUCUAGAUAAUUUUGUUCAUGAGAUAUAUAUUUUCCAGAGAAUAUGAUAAUUUCUAUUAAAAUUCUAGUACAUUUUGUUUCGAAAGUUAGUAGUAUCAAGGAUAAGUUAUCCAUCAAGUACCUAACCAGAGAGAUUUCAGUGAAGAAAAUAAAUUUUUAGUUAAUUGAAUAUCUUUAGCUGAACGAUAGUUAAUACGAUAGUCGGAGAUGUGAAGAAAUCGGGCAUUGGUAUAAUUUUAUUUCCGAAAGCGAGCCAGAUCGAGCGUACUUGCUGGUGCCCAGAAACGUCAGAUGAUUGAAUAGUUCAGACAGUUUGAACUAGAGUAUCAAGUAGUUCAAAUCUUUCAAACUAAAGUAUUCGAACUGUUUCAUUUCAGAUCCGAAAUUAUUAUAGUUCAAAUUAGAGAUGUGCAAAUCGAGCGUUUUACUUGAAAUCGAAUCGAACCUUUUUGAUAACAUAAACUAAAUCGAAUUGAAUCGAAUCGAAUCACUUGAUGCGAAUUCGAAUCUAGUUUUUUCGUACUUACGUUUCAUGUCAAUUUAAACGUAAUAAAGUAUUUUCAAUGACGUUACCUUUUUAAUAGAAAAUUAAUCGCAAGAAUUUUAGAAAAUAGUUUUUAAUAAUUGUGUGUUAAGUGAAAAUUUAUAUUAAGUACUAAACAAUAAGUGUGAAGAUAUUAAACUGUCCGAAAUA